CCUACGAGUGGCAGCAGUGAGGAAUAUUGGUCAAUGGACGAGAGUCUGAACCAGCCAAGUAGCGUGAAGGAUGACUGUCCUAUGGGUUGUAAACUUCUUUUAUAUGGGAAUAAAAUGCUCUACGUGUGGGAUUUUGUAUGUAUCAUAUGAAUAAGCAUCGGCUAACUCCGUGCCAGCAGCCGCGGUAAUACGGAGGAUCCGAGCGUUAUCCGGAUUUAUUGGGUGUAAAGGGAGCGUAGGUGGAUUGUUAAGUCAGUUGUGAAAGUUGGGGGCUCAACCGUCAAAUUGCAGUUGAAACUGGCAGUCUUGAGUACAGUAGAGGUAGGCGGAAUUCGUGGUGUAGCGGUGAAAUGCUUAGAUAUUGCGAAGAACACCGGUGGCGAAGGCAGCUCACUGGACUGCAACUGACACUGAGGCUCGAAAGUGUGGGUAGCAAACAGGAUUAGAUACCCUUGUAGUC
RNAcentral lists this ribosomal RNA (460 nucleotides) under uncultured bacterium. RNAcentral describes it as "partial 16S ribosomal RNA". It matches the Rfam family "Bacterial small subunit ribosomal RNA", at positions 338 to 795 of the family's 1533-position model. The record is from RNAcentral.